GGGGCUGAUUCUGGAUUCGACGGGAUUUGCGAAACCCAAGGUGCAUGCCGAGGGGCGGUUGGCCUCGUAAAAAGCCGCAAAAAAAUAGUCGCAAACGACGAAAACUACGCUUUAGCAGCUUAAUAACCUGCUUAGAGCCCUCUCUCCCUAGCCUCCGCUCUUAGGACGGGGAUCAAGAGAGGUCAAACCCAAAAGAGAUCGCGUGGAUGCCUGCCUGGGGUUGAAGCGUUAAAACGAAUCAGGCUAGUCUGGUAGUGGCGUGUCCGUCCGCAGGUGCCAGGCGAAUGUAAAGACUGACUAAGCAUGUAGUACCGAGGAUGUAGGAAUUUCGGACGCGGGUUCAACUCCCGCCAGCUCCACCA
Molecule: transfer-messenger RNA, 362 nt
Filed under: Salmonella enterica subsp. enterica serovar Derby
Lineage: Bacteria; Pseudomonadati; Pseudomonadota; Gammaproteobacteria; Enterobacterales; Enterobacteriaceae
Rfam family: transfer-messenger RNA
About the family: Bacterial tmRNA, also known as 10Sa RNA or SsrA, is named for its dual tRNA and mRNA-like properties.
Source: RNAcentral